Molecule: ribosomal RNA, 253 nt
Filed under: uncultured bacterium
Lineage: Bacteria
Description: partial 16S ribosomal RNA
Rfam family: Bacterial small subunit ribosomal RNA
Source: RNAcentral
GACGUAGGGCGCGAGCGUUGUCCGGAUUUAUUGGGCGUAAAGAGCUCGUAGGCGGCUUGUCGCGUCGGCUGUGAAAACCCGCGGCUCAACUGUGGGCGGGCAGCUGAUACGGGCAGGCUGGAGUUCGGUAGGGGAGACUGGAAUUCCUGGUGUAGCGGUGAAAUGCGCAGAUAUCAGGAAGAACACCAAUGGCGAAGGCAGCUCUCUGGGACGGUACUGACGCUGAGACGCGAAAGCGUGGGGAGCGAACAGG